AAGUCGUAACAAGGUUUCCGUAGGUGAACCUGCGGAAGGAUCAUUAACAAGAGAAAUAUUCCAAAACAAACGGCACAAUGUGCUUUUGUUUUGCGAACUGCGAUACCGUGUCUCUUACUUAAUUGUAUGAGGCCAUUCAAACAAGAACCUGGGGUACUUUGAGGUGGAGGCAACUCUGCUUUGGAGCCCUGCAAUAAUCCCUUUUUUCUUACCAUUCUACCCUUAAAACUAUAAGACUGAUAUGACAUGAUUUAAUGUCAAACUUAAAACUAUAAAACAACUCUUAACAAUGGAUAUCUAGGCUCUG
This 307-nucleotide unclassified non-coding RNA is filed under the name fungal sp. RNAcentral's name for it is "partial internal transcribed spacer region". The stretch from base 1 to 46 matches the Rfam family "Eukaryotic small subunit ribosomal RNA", at positions 1786 to 1831 of the family's 1831-position model. The record is from RNAcentral. Lineage: Eukaryota; Fungi.